RNAcentral lists this ribosomal RNA (406 nucleotides) under uncultured bacterium. RNAcentral's name for it is "partial 16S ribosomal RNA". It matches the Rfam family "Bacterial small subunit ribosomal RNA", at positions 30 to 526 of the family's 1533-position model. The record is from RNAcentral.
AUUGAACGCUGGCGGCAGGCCUAAAACAUGCAAGUCGAACGAGUGGCGGACGGGUGAGUAAUGUCUGGGAAACUGCCCGAUGGAGGGGGAUAACUACUGGAAACGGUAGCUAAUACCGCAUACCAUCGGAUGUGCCCAGAUGGGAUUUGCUAGUAGGUGGGGUAACGGCUCACCUGGGCGACGAUCCCUAGCUGGUCUGAGAGAAUGACCAGCCACCCUGGAAGUGAAGCACGGUCCAGACUCCUACGGGUGGCAGCAGGGGGGAAUAGUGCACAGUGGGCUCAAGCCUGAUGCAGCCAGGCCGCGUGUAUGAAGAAGGCCUUCGGGUUGUAAAGUACUUUCAGCGAGGAGGCGUUACUCGAAGAAGGGGCACCGGGUAACUCCGUGCCAGCAGCCGCGGUAAUUC